AGAAGGGGCAGCAACUUGGAUCAGUUGGCUGUCAGGAUCAGAUUGAAAUGCAACUUCUGCUCCUAACUCAGUUGGCUGUCAGGAUGGGUGGCUGUUGUUCCUGGGAAAUCUGCAGGUCCCGGCACUCAGGAGAGGAACCCAAGGAUGAAGAUGAAGAGGAGGCACAGAUGGGUAA
Molecule: long non-coding RNA, 175 nt
Organism: Hemicordylus capensis (graceful crag lizard)
Lineage: Eukaryota; Metazoa; Chordata; Lepidosauria; Squamata; Cordylidae
Exons: 3
Source: RefSeq, a predicted model, not a curated record